AUACGGAGGGUGCAAGCGUUAUUCGGAAUCACUGGGCGUAAAGGACGCGUAGGCGGGUUGGCAAGUCAGAUGUGAAAUCCUACAGCUUAACUGUAGAACUGCAUUUGAAACUGCUAACCUAGAGUAUGGGAGGGGGAGAUGGAAUUAGUGGUGUAGGGGUAAAAUCCGUAGAUAUCACUAGGAAUACCGAAAGCGAAGGCGAUCUCCUGGAACAUAACUGACGCUAAGGCGUGAAAGCGUGGGGAGCAAACAGGAUUAGAAACCCUAUAGUCC
RNAcentral lists this ribosomal RNA (273 nucleotides) under uncultured bacterium. RNAcentral's name for it is "partial 16S ribosomal RNA". It matches the Rfam family "Bacterial small subunit ribosomal RNA", at positions 523 to 796 of the family's 1533-position model. The record is from RNAcentral.